RNAcentral lists this small RNA (29 nucleotides) under Bombyx mori (domestic silkworm). RNAcentral's name for it is "ovarian small RNA-15992". The record is from RNAcentral. Lineage: Eukaryota; Metazoa; Arthropoda; Insecta; Lepidoptera; Bombycidae.
GAGUCGGGUGAGACCACGACUUUAGGCAU